Molecule: transfer RNA, 62 nt
Filed under: uncultured Clostridium sp.
Lineage: Bacteria; Bacillati; Bacillota; Clostridia; Eubacteriales; Clostridiaceae
Rfam family: tRNA
About the family: Transfer RNA (tRNA) molecules are approximately 80 nucleotides in length. Their secondary structure includes four short double-helical elements and three loops (D, anti-codon, and T loops).
Source: RNAcentral
CCAUGGCUCAACGGUAGAGCAGCUGAUUUGUAAUCAGCAGGUUGUUGGUUCGAUUCCGACUG